This 493-nucleotide ribosomal RNA is filed under the name uncultured soil bacterium. RNAcentral's name for it is "bacterial SSU rRNA". It matches the Rfam family "Bacterial small subunit ribosomal RNA", at positions 26 to 494 of the family's 1533-position model. The record is from RNAcentral.
AGAGUGAACGCUGGCGGCAGGCCUAACACAUGCAAGUCGAACGGCAGCACAAGGGAGCUUGCUCCCUGGGUGGCGAGUGGCGGACGGGUGAGGAAUACGUCGGAAUCUGCCUAUUUGUGGGGGAUAGCGUAGGGAAACUUACGCUAAUACCGCAUACGACCCCAUGCCGAGAGGUGCGGGGUGAAAGCGGAGGACCUUCGGGCUUCGCGCAGAUAGAUGAGCCGACGUCGGAUUAGCUUGUUGGCGGGGUAACGGCCACCAAGGCGACGAUCCGUAGCUGGUCUGAGAGGAUGAUCAGCCACACUGGAACUGAGACACGGUCCAGACUCCUACGGGAGCAGCAGUGGGGAAUAUUGGACAAGUGGGCGCAAGCCUGAUCCAGCCAUGCCGCGUGUGUAGAAGAGGUCCUUGGUUGUAAGCUACUUUAGUACCGAAAGUAAAGACGUUACGGUUAAUACCCGUAGGACGUCCGUAGACGGUAACCGGAAGUAAC